GUGGGGAAUAUUGCACAAUGGGCGCAAGCCUGAUNCAGCCAUGCCGCGUGUGUGAAGAAGGUCUUCGGNUUGUAAAGCACUUUCAGUUGGGAGGAAGGGCUGUNUAUUAAUACUUUGCUGUNUUGACGUUACCCACAGAAUAAGCACCGGCUAACUCCGUGCCAGCAGCCGCGGUAAUACGGAGGGUGCAAGCGUUAAUCGGAAUUACUGGGCGUAAAGCGCGCGUAGGCGGUUUNUUAAGUCNGAUGUGAAAUCCCCGGGCUCAACCUGGGAACUGCAUUCGAAACUGCCNAGCUAGAGUNUGGUAGAGGGUGGGUGGAAUUCCNGGUGUAGCGGUGAAAUGCGUAGAGAUCNGGAGGAAACACCAGUGGCGAAGGCGGCCCCCUGG
Molecule: ribosomal RNA, 388 nt
Filed under: gamma proteobacterium SCGC AAA044-E19
Lineage: Bacteria; Pseudomonadati; Pseudomonadota; Gammaproteobacteria
Description: partial 16S small subunit ribosomal RNA
Rfam family: Bacterial small subunit ribosomal RNA
Source: RNAcentral